UGCCUGUAAUCUCAGCCCUGUGGGAGGCUGAGGCGGAUGGAUCACAAGAGGUUAGGCGUUCGAGACCAGCCUGGCCAACAUGGUGAAACCUUGGCUAUAGUAAAAAUACAAAAAUUAGACCCUGAAGGUCAUGUCCAAAUGAGAAAGACAUUGUUUGGCUCUAACUGUCUGACACUAAGAAACAGUGCAGACUGGCCAAGUGAGGUGUCUCACACUUGUAAUCCCAGCAGUUUGGGAGGCCGAGGCGGAUGGAUCACCUGAGGUCAAGGGAUCGACACCAGCCUGACCAAUAUGGUGAAACUUUGUCUCUACUACAAAAAAAGUACAAGAAAAUUAGGCAGUCAUGGUGGCACACACCUGUAAAUCCCAGCUAUUUGGGAGGCUGAGGCAGGAGAAUCGCUUGAACCCUGGUGGCAGAGGUUGUGGUGAGCAGAGGUCAGCCUGUAUCAAGCUUCUCCUUGUUCUAAGUGUGAACAGCUAGUCUGUAUCUUCACCGAAGCAUAUUUAAAAAUCAACCUUAGGAAGGCCCUUGGCCACCAUAAUCCUUCCACACUAGCAAAAGCCCAGACUCAGAGACUAGGCGUCCUUCUGCCUCCCACUGGAAUGCCUUCCCCCCGGAUCUCCAAGGUACCAAACCGCUCAGGGGCAGCUGAGACAGCCCUACUUCUGGGAGUCCUCCCCAACCCCUGAAAUCACAGGCAUCUCUGCUGUCCCUGCCCUUCAUCCACAUCACUGAACAAUUCAUUGCACACAUCUCUGUACUUUUAUUUAAACUGUUCCAUGUGUGUUUACAAUUAACUACUUCCUGAAUGACUGCGGUAUGGAUGGAGCAGAAAGGAAUGCUGAGGGAGGAUUCCUGUUCGAAUGAGCCCCUCUUCCAGAAUGAGAAUGAACUUUCCCCAGUACCAACAAGGCAGCCUCCAGGGCAGGAAAAGGUAACGGGAUCCAGCCUGCUGACAUCCAAGAUGGAAUUACAGGUAACUCUCACCUCUUUUUUGACUGUCAGGUGGAAACCCCCUCCCCACGAGGUGAAGCGGAGUCCGCUCCAGAGCCCCACAGUUGGGGUCGGGGAUGUCACAGAAAUCACCGGGGCAGCCAAUUCCCAUCCACAGGGGACCCAGGAUGACCCAGCACCCUCAAGCUCAGCCCCAAGCUCGGGCCAGGGAGUGAAGCCCUUGUCCCCAAGCAACAGAGUGAGGGUUUGUCUCUAACCCUGUGGGCUCCAGUGAAAGGAAAAUGGCCUGGAGGUGCCCACAGGAGAGCACCCCAGUUCUGAGACAGCUCUACGGCUCCCAGCCUGAGUCCCUGUGAGUAACACAAGGAUGCACAGAGGGGCAUGCUGCCUGCCUAUAGGGCACUCACGGAAUGCGGGUGCACACUGCGGAUCCUGAAGCCGGUCAGGUAACGAGGUGCAGAAGUGUGGGGAAGACCUGGAGGGAGGCCUCCCCGGGGGCCAACCAGCUGGGGCCACGGAUCAGAAGUGCUUCUGACAUUAAUAGGACACACGUAAGGUGUGUAGGGUGGGUAGUGGAUGUGACCACAGAGGCCUCUGGGGAUUGUAGUUUUGGAGCUAGAGAGGCGGGCAAACAGUUGGGUUUGCCCACACAGGGUGCCUCCGACAUCUGCACAGCGCACACAACCAAGCUUAGGAACCCACUGUUAAGAUGCCCAAGUGACACGGACAAGUUUCUCCUCUGCGAGCCAAUGAGAUCUGCUGGCUGACAGAGCAUCGUGGGACCACUGAAGGAUUCUGGAAAAUGUGGUCCCGGGUGGUCACUGUCCACUGACCUUCGCCUGUAGGUUCGACUUGAAGGAAACUUCUGGAGGGUGGGGCAGUGUUGAAGAGGAGGCACCAUUGUAACCAUUUUGUUCAACAUGGGUGUUUUCUUUAUGCAUUCAUUUGUAUUUUUAAAUAUAUUACAUUAAAAAUUUAUCUUGAUUACUUA
Piliocolobus tephrosceles (Ugandan red Colobus) is the source of this 1946-nucleotide long non-coding RNA. RefSeq lists it as uncharacterized. The transcript is spliced from 2 exons. The record is from RefSeq and is a predicted model, not a curated record. NCBI's taxonomy places the organism in Eukaryota, Metazoa, Chordata, Mammalia, Primates, Cercopithecidae.